AGUGAACGCUGGCGGUAGGCCUAACACAUGCAAGUCGAACGGCAGCACAGGAGAGCUUGCUCUCUGGGUGGCGAGUGGCGGACGGGUGAGGAAUACAUCGGAAUCUACUCUGUCGUGGGGGAUAACGUAGGGAAACUUACGCUAAUACCGCAUACGACCUACGGGUGAAAGCAGGGGACCUUCGGGCCUUGCGCGAUUGAAUGAGCCGAUGUCGGAUUAGCUAGUUGGCGGGGUAAAGGCCCACCAAGGCGACGAUCCGUAGCUGGUCUGAGAGGAUGAGCAGCCACAAUGGAACUGGGACACGGUCCAGACUCCUACGGGAGGCAGCAGUGGGGAAUAUUGGACAAUGGGCGCAAGCCUGAUCCAGCCAUACCGCGUGGGUGAGGAAGGCCUUCGGGUUGUAAAGCCCUUUUGUUGGGAAAGAAAUCCAGCUGGCUAAUACCCGGUUGGGAUGACGGUACCCAAAGAAUAAGCACCGGCUAACUUCGUGCCAGCCGCCGCAGUAA
RNAcentral lists this ribosomal RNA (506 nucleotides) under uncultured bacterium. RNAcentral describes it as "partial 16S ribosomal RNA". It matches the Rfam family "Bacterial small subunit ribosomal RNA", at positions 29 to 523 of the family's 1533-position model. The record is from RNAcentral.